Molecule: long non-coding RNA, 324 nt
Filed under: Capra hircus (goat)
Lineage: Eukaryota; Metazoa; Chordata; Mammalia; Artiodactyla; Bovidae
Description: lncRNA (ENSCHIG00000006369.1)
Source: RNAcentral
CACCCAGAUGCCUGUGAACUAAGUGAUAUACACCAGAUUUAUUUAACUACUGGCAACCACUUUUUUUUUUCUUUGUAGGGCAAUGAGUUAAAAGAUUAUUUACCUCCCUUGGUUACAAAAAGAAGAAAUACUUCUUCCAAGACUCUGGGUAGCUGCGGCCAGUUCUUCCAGAGAAAUUAUUUACCUCAAAGAUUCAGAGCGCGGAGCUUGGAAGCCUUGGCCCACCCGACUCCUUGCCGCUGCACUGCAUGGGCACCUUCUGAGGGAUUUACUAAGUAUCCUCAGGCUGGGUUCCUGCAGGGGCCAUACAAAAUUUAAAGCAAG